CAGCUUGCUGGGUGGAUUAGUGGCGAACGGGUGAGUAACACGUGAGUAACCUGCCCCCGACUCUGGGAUAAGCCCGGGAAACUGGGUCUAAUACCGGAUAUUACCUUUGACCGCAUGGUUGUUGGUGGAAAGAUUUAUCGGUGGGGGAUGGACUCGCGGCCUAUCAGCUUGUUGGUGAGGUAAUGGCUCACCAAGGCGACGACGGGUAGCCGGCCUGAGAGGGUGACCGGCCACACUGGGACUGAGACACGGCCCAGACUCCUACGGGAGGCAGCAGUGGGGAAUAUUGCACAAUGGGCGAAAGCCUGAUGCAGCGACGCCGCGUGAGGGAUGACGGCCUUCGGGUUGUAAACCUCUUUCAGUAGGGAAGAAGCGAAAGUGACGGUACCUGCAGAAGAAGCGCCGGCUAACUACGUGCCAGCAGCCGCGGUAAUACGUAGGGCGCAAGCGUUAUCCGGAUUUAUUGGGCGUAAAGAGCUCGUAGGCGGUUUGUCGCGUCUGCCGUGAAAGUCCGAGGCUCAACCUCGGAUCUGCGGUGGGUACGGGCAGACUAGAGUGAUGUAGGGGAGACUGGAAUUCCUGGUGUAGCGGUGAAAUGCGCAGAUAUCAGGAGGAACACCGAUGGCGAAGGCAGGUCUCUGGGCAUUUACUGACGCUGAGGAGCGAAAGCAUGGGGAGCGAACAGGAUUAGAUACCCUGGUAGUCCAUGCCGUAAACGUUGGGCACUAGGUGUGGGGGACAUUCCACGUUUUCCGCGCCGUAGCUAACGCAUUAAGUGCCCCGCCUGGGGAGUACGGCCGCAAGGCUAAAACUCAAAGGAAUUGACGGGGGCCCGCACAAGCGGCGGAGCAUGCGGAUUAAUUCGAUGCAACGCGAAGAACCUUACCAAGGCUUGACAUGUGCCAGACCGCCUCAGAGAUGGGGUUUCCCUUCGGGGCUGGUUCACAGGUGGUGCAUGGUUGUCGUCAGCUCGUGUCGUGAGAUGUUGGGUUAAGUCCCGCAACGAGCGCAACCCUCGUUCCAUGUUGCCAGCACGUAAAGGUGGGGACUCAUGGGAGACUGCCGGGGUCAACUCGGAGGAAGGUGGGGAUGACGUCAAAUCAUCAUGCCCCUUAUGUCUUGGGCUUCACGCAUGCUACAAUGGCCGGUACAAUGGGUUGCGAUACUGUGAGGUGGAGCUAAUCCCUAAAAGCCGGUCUCAGUUCGGAUUGGGGUCUGCAACUCGACCCCAUGAAGUCGGAGUCGCUAGUAAUCGCAGAUCAGCAACGCUGCGGUGAAUACGUUCCCGGGCCUUGUACACACCGCCCGUCAAGUCACGAAAGUUGGUAACACCCGAAGCCGAUGGCCUAACC
RNAcentral lists this ribosomal RNA (1352 nucleotides) under Arthrobacter sp. SR10-S-3. Its description in RNAcentral is "bacterial SSU rRNA". It matches the Rfam family "Bacterial small subunit ribosomal RNA", at positions 76 to 1440 of the family's 1533-position model. The record is from RNAcentral. Lineage: Bacteria; Bacillati; Actinomycetota; Actinomycetes; Micrococcales; Micrococcaceae.